This 277-nucleotide ribosomal RNA is filed under the name uncultured bacterium. Its description in RNAcentral is "partial 16S ribosomal RNA". It matches the Rfam family "Bacterial small subunit ribosomal RNA", at positions 28 to 331 of the family's 1533-position model. The record is from RNAcentral.
GAUGAACGCUGGCGGCGUGCCUAAAACAUGCAAGUCGAACGCACACCUUCGGGUGUGAGUGGCAAACGGGUGAGUAACACGUGGGAACUCGCCCUCCGGUGGGGAAUAACUCUGCGAAAGCAGAGCUAAUACCGCAUAUGCUCGCAAGAGUAAAGCCUUGUGCGCCGGGGGAGAGACCCGCGUCCGAUUAGUUGGUUGGUGGGGUAACGGCCUACCAAGACGGUGAUCGGUAGCUGGUCUAAGAGGAUGGUCAGCCACACUGGGACUGCGAACGGCC